GUAGGGAAUAUUGCGCAAUGGACGAAAGUCUGACGCAGCGACGCCGCGUGAGUGAUGAAGGCCUUAGGGUCGUAAAGCUCUGUUGAAUGGGAAGAAAAAAAUGACGGUACCAUUCGAGGAAGGACCGGCUAACUUCGUGCCAGCAACCGCGGUAAUACGAGGGGUCCUAGCGUUGUUCGGAAUCAUUGGGCGUACAGGGUGUGUAGGUGGCCAUGUAAGUCAGGUGUGAAAGCCCCGGGCUCAACCCGGGAAGUGCACUUGAUACUGCGUGGCUUGAGUACCGAAGAGGGUAGUGGAAUUCCAGGUGUAGUGGUGAAAUACGUAGAUAUCUGGAGGAACACCGGUGGCGAAGGCGGCUACCUGGUCGAGUACUGACACUGAGACACGAAAGCAUGGGGAUCAAACAGGAUUAGAAACCCGGGUAGUCC
Molecule: ribosomal RNA, 428 nt
Filed under: uncultured bacterium
Lineage: Bacteria
Description: partial 16S ribosomal RNA
Rfam family: Bacterial small subunit ribosomal RNA
Source: RNAcentral